RNAcentral lists this long non-coding RNA (727 nucleotides) under Brassica napus (rape). RNAcentral describes it as "long non-coding RNA (BNAP_LNC007626)". The record is from RNAcentral. Lineage: Eukaryota; Viridiplantae; Streptophyta; Magnoliopsida; Brassicales; Brassicaceae.
CAUUUAGAAGUUUGGGGCAAAAUUCAAGGGUUAAAUUGCACAUUUUAGAAGUUUUGGGUCCACUGUGAUGUUAACAAGAAUCCAGGGACCAAGGUUGCAAAUUAGGAAUUUCGCCUGGGCUAAAUUGCAUGAUUAGAAACUUUGGAGUUGAUUCGAGUGGACCUUUCUACACUUUUAAUAGUUUUGGGGUCAAAAAGUAAAUAUCCAAAAGUCCAAGGGCCAGAUGUGCAAAAAUGGCAAAGAUCACCAUUGUUGUCUUCUCCACCUCGAUCCCGAUGGUGAGACUCGAUUCCGGUGACGACGGAGUACGGCAAUGGAGGAUACAACUUGUACAUGAGAGCUUUCCGAUGAGGAGUGAGGCUCAGUCCCGACGGCGACGAAGAAACGGCACAGCCACGCGGAGACUGAUGAAGCUCGACGAAGCUUGGUCGCGGCUUAGAGGAGACGGUGGCGCAGUCACGGCUUGAUCAAGGCGAGGAAGAAGAAAUCGAGCUCGAGUAGGGCUGUUUGAUGGUCGGAGAGGAGAGGCUCUAGUAGAAGAAAGACGACGAGGACGAAGGCUCACGCGGGUUGAGAGACUCAGGAAGCUGUACCCGCGCGCACAAAGAGAGACAAAGACGACGAAGACUCACGCGGGUUGAGUGACUCGGGAAGCUGCACCUGCACGCAUAUUUGAAGCUGCUCGACGCUCCAACUCGGGGUGUUGCUAGCGACUGCUACCCGGGUC